Globicephala melas (long-finned pilot whale) is the source of this 2833-nucleotide long non-coding RNA. RefSeq lists it as uncharacterized. The record is from RefSeq and is a predicted model, not a curated record. NCBI's taxonomy places the organism in Eukaryota, Metazoa, Chordata, Mammalia, Artiodactyla, Delphinidae.
CCCGCGUGGUGGCGCCUUGCUCCUCGCUGGCGGUCGCCGCCUGCCCGAGAAGCUUCGGUCCAUCCACACCGCUGCCCGACUUGGCUGGAGCUGGGGUUCUGAGAGACUGACCCCUACAGCCGGCCAGCAGAGAGCCCCACGCCGCCGUCCCUGGUCCGGGAUCCACUCCGCUCUUCUCCGCUCCCACGAUGGGAAAAGUUGGCGCCGGCGGCGGCUCCGCAGCCGGGCCGAGCGCGCUCCUCGCCUGCACGGGGCUCUGGGUUCUCCAGGUACUGGGUGCCUGCGGCGGCGGCUCCUGCUGGGUCCCUCGGGCGUAGGGUCCUCACCCCCAGGGGACUUCUGUCCCUCACCAAGGCCAAGAGGCCGGGCUCCUGCCACUUCUUUGCCUCGCUCCGUGCGCUCCCUAAUUUGAGGGGACCAAGGCGAGGGCCCGGACUGCGACCCCCGAGAGCCGGAGCACAGGACCAGUACCCAGGCGAAGCCACCCACCUGGAGCUGGAGAGCUAAGGCUAGUCAGUAUCGAACUGGCUCUCGACAGGGAGACUCCAGACGCGUCUGUAGACUUGGUGCACUCUUGUGGCCACGACAGCAGCCCGAGGAGAGGAGAGGUGAAGGGUGAAAUUGUUAACGGUGAUCUCUUGGAGAAUGAUGGACUAAAUGGUCACCAUUGUCAAGAAUUGAUUGAAAUUUCUGGUGGCAAGCCCAACAAUUAGGGUCUGUUUCUGGGGGAGCCUGUAGCUUCUAAGAUGGAAGAGCAUGUACAGGGCCUGGAAGAAGCGAGGAGCUGCCUCUCACUGGGAAGAUUUUGGUGGUGAUUUUGGUUGACCACUUGGACCAACUCUGCCAUGAAUAUCGUUGAAGAUCUGACCAUUACAUUCCCAAUAACUGUUGCUUCAAUUUCCAUUAGAUGGAUUUCAAGCAGAGGAAUGCCUGUUCUGCUCCAUCUGUGCACGGCCUGUUUUCAUGCAUCCCUAUUGUCUCUCCGUGUGUGAAGAAGAGCAGCCAGUUACUGCAGUGUGUGGCCAUUUACCGCUAAUGAUGCCAGUGGCUCUUUGAAUGGAAGACAUUAUGUAAUCAUUGGUCUCUGACUGCGACACACAUACUUCAUGCAUUUGUCACUGGUCUCUGGCAUUUGAGGAUGCUGCUGCUGAGAAUGGUUACCACCUACAUGUGCCGUUGCAGCUACAAAUUCUGAGCAGGGAGAGAAAACCUCCAGGGGAAUAUUAUUGAGAAUUUUAAAUGAUGGCAAUCUAUCAGGAAAGACCAGUCCACGUUAAGGAGAAUGAAAACUGAGAAGAAGUGUUGGAAGUCACUUCACAAAAGUAAAUUGCUGUGCACAGAGGAGAGAAUUUGAAACCAAGAGCUCCUAGAAAGAAGAACAUUCUAAAUAUAUGCACAGCCAUCUCACCCUCAGGAGUCAAUACUGAGUUUGAAGUGAUUGAAGAAUUAGCCUUUAUGAAUAGCCUGCAUGGAAUAACCACAGCAGUCAAACAGCUGAUGUCGGGAGAUUUGAGAAGAUGGCGGAAGAGUAAGAUGCGGAGAUCGCCUUCCUCCCCACAGAUACAUCAGAAAUACAUCUACAUGUGGAACUGCUCCUAUAGAACACCUACUGAACGCUGGCAGAAGACCUCAGACCUCCCAAAAGGCAAGAAACUCCCCACAUACCUAGGUAGGGCAAAAGAAAAAAGAAUAAACAGAGACAAGAGAAUAGGGACAGGAUCUGCACCAGUGGGAGGGAGCUGUGAAGGAGGAAAGGUUUCCACACACUAGGAAGCCCCUUCGUGGGCGGAGACUGCGGGUGGCGGAGCGGAGAGCUUCGGAGCCACAGAGAGCGCAGCAACAGGGGUGCAGAGGGCAAAGCGGAGAGAUUCCUGCACAGAGGAUCAGGGCCGACCAGCACUCACCAGCCCGAGAGGCUUGUCUGCUCACCCGCCGGGCGGGCAGGGCUGAGAGCUGAGGCUCGGGCUUCGGAGAUCGGGUCGCAGGGAGAGGAUUGGGGUUGGCUGUGUGAACACAGCCUGCAGGGGGUUAGUGCACCACGGCUAGCCGGGAGGGAGUCCGGGAAAAAGUGUGGACCUGCCGAAGAGGCAAGAGACUUUUCCUUGCCUCUGUUUGCUGGUGCGCAAGGAGAGGGGAUUAAGAGCACUGCUUAAAGGAGCUCCAGAGAUGGGUCGCAAGCCCCGGCUAUCAGCGCAGACUCCAGAGACGGGCAUGAGACGGUAAGGCUGCUGCUGCCGCCACCAAGAAGCCUGUGUUCGAGCACAGGUCACUAUCCACACGGCCCCUCCCGGGAGCCUGUGCAGCCCGCCACUGCCAGGGUCCCGGGAUCCAGGGACAACGUCCCCGGGAGAAUGCACAGCGCGCCUCAGGUUGGUGCAAUGUCACGCCGGCCUCUGCCGCUGCCGGCUCACCCCUCACUUUGUACCCCUCCCUCCCCCUGGCCUGAGUGAGCCAGAGCCCCUGAAGCAGCUGCUCCUUUAACCCCGUCCUGUCUGAGCGAAGAACAGACACCCUCAGGUGACCUACACGCAGAGGCUGGGCCAAAUCCAAAGCUGAGCCCCGGGAGCUGUGCGAACAAAGAAGAGAAAGGGAAAUCUCUCGCAGCAGCCUCAGAAGCAGCGGAUCAAAGCUCCACAAUCAACUUUAUGUACCCUGCAUCUGUGGAAUACCUGAAUAGACAACGAAUCAUCCCAAAUUGAGGAGGUGGACUUUGGGAGCAAGAUAUAUUAUUUUUUCACCUUUUCCUCUUUUUGUGAGUGUGUAUGUGUAUGCUUCUGUGUGAGAUUUUGUCUGUAUAGCUUUGCUUUCACCAUUUGUCCUAGGGUUCUGUAUG